CAAGACCCACGCCGGCCGCUCCAGCUCCAAGAACCGAGCCGACCUCCCCCUCCCCCACUGCCUCGCCCCCCGCCCACGCCCCGCCGCACGCCAAGCCAUCGCCCCCUCCCUCGGCCGGCCACCGCCCGCAGCUGCCGACGCCGGCCACGGCCGUCGACCCGGCCAACCAGCACGGCAGGAGCCCCAACAAGUCCUCCACGCAGUCCGCCGGGGAGCGGGGCAAGGCCUCCGCCACGCCGAGCAACAACGGGGGGGCCAGCAACAGCGUCGUCAUCGCCGUCGGCGCCGUGCUCGCCUUCCUGGUGGUCACCCUCAUAGCGGCCGCCGUUCUCUACACCAAGAAGCGCCGGAGGGGGAGGGACGACUACCGCCCCGGGUUCAGGUCGCCGCCGUACUCUUCUUCAGAGCUACCACCCUCAGGUUCAGUUCCUUCGGGCGGCGGCUCGGCGAACGCGGCAAUGUUGUCGUCGGCCGACCCCUCCGUCCACACCAACUACAGCGCCGGGAGCCCGAGACUGAAAGCGUGCCUGUCCGACAUGAGCGUGGGCAACUCGCGCUUCUUCACGUACCAAGAAAUGUACCAGAUCACCGACGGCUUCUCGCCGCGCAAUUUGCUCGGCCAAGGAGGGUUCGGGUCGGUGUACAAGGGCCGGCUGCCCGAAGGGAAAGACGUGGCUGUCAAGCAGCUGAGGGAUGGCAGUGGGCAAGGGGAGCGCGAGUUCCAAGCCGAGGUGGAGAUAAUCAGUCGGGUGCAUCACCGGCAUUUGGUGUCUCUCGUGGGGUACUGCAUUGACAAUAGCCAAAGGCUGCUCGUCUACGAUUUCGUGUCGAAUGACACCCUGCAUUAUCAUCUCCACGGACAGGGAAGGCCUGUUUUAGAGUGGUCGGCUAGGGUUAAAAUUGCUGCCGGUGCUGCUCGUGGAAUAGCAUACCUGCAUGAAGAUUGCCAUCCAAGGAUAAUCCACCGAGACAUCAAAUCCUCAAACAUUUUGUUGGAUAAUAACUUUGACGCACUGGUGGCCGAUUUUGGUCUUGCAAGACUGGCUUUGGAUGCUGUAACACAUGUAACUACACGGGUUAUGGGGACAUUUGGAUACAUGGCUCCAGAGUAUGCAUCGAGUGGCAAAUUGACUGAGAAAUCUGAUGUGUUCUCUUUUGGUGUUGUACUUUUAGAGCUUAUGACUGGUCGAAAGCCUGUUGAUUCAUCCAGACCAUUGGGUGAUGAGAGCCUUGUUGAGUGGGCUAGACCAUUGCUUAGUCGAGCUCUUGAGACGGGAAAGCUGGAAGGGUUAGUCGACCCCAGGCUUGAGAGGAAUUUCAAUGAGGUCGAAAUGUUCCGUAUGAUUGAGUCUGCAGCAGCCUGCAUUCGACACUCGUCAUCAAAGAGGCCCAGAAUGAGCCAGGUGGUGCGGGUCCUCGAUAGCUUAGCGGAUAUUGACCUAACAAACGGUGUCCAGCCAGGGCAAAGCGAGCUCUUCAACGUGGCAAACACCGCGGAUAUCAGGAUGUUCCAGCAGAUGGUGCAGGGCAACCAGGACGACAGUUCCGCCUUCAGCCAAUAUAGCUGGAUCAGUCGCAGUAGGGCCGACGCCGAAGCGACCUCCUCAAACUCCCGGAUCUUGUGAUCAUCUUUGUUUCUGUGCUCCACGUGUACGUAGCCAUUCUUCUCGACCCACUGAUUCGGCCGGGCUGUGUCGACCAUCGAAAAAAGUCUGGUGUAAUUCUUGCCUUGUUACGAUGAUUGCUCGUGUGUAGAUCACACGAGGAAGAUGUACUCUUGUUUGACAAAUUAUUAAGCUAGCUGUUGUUGUGGUUGUUGACUAACUUGUUAGGCUGCCUGCUCCUGUUGCUGUUGCCUAACUGAAAGAGCACAAUGUCUGAACUUGUGUAGUCUUUCCUUUUGUGUUGUUGGCUUGACAAUGAUGUUGAGGCCACAUCUAAGGGAGAAAAGAAAGAGGAUACUGAUGAUGACUUGUUCAAGUCUAUUUGACUGACAACAUAGUCUUGCUUUCUUCCAAUAUAUUACCAGCAUAUGUAUUGUAUGAUUUGCAUG
Molecule: ribosomal RNA, 2053 nt
Filed under: Triticum aestivum (bread wheat)
Lineage: Eukaryota; Viridiplantae; Streptophyta; Magnoliopsida; Poales; Poaceae
Description: partial small subunit ribosomal RNA
Source: RNAcentral